RNAcentral lists this ribosomal RNA (253 nucleotides) under uncultured bacterium. RNAcentral's name for it is "partial 16S ribosomal RNA". It matches the Rfam family "Bacterial small subunit ribosomal RNA", at positions 524 to 776 of the family's 1533-position model. The record is from RNAcentral.
UACGGAGGGGGCUAGCGUUGUUCGGAAUUACUGGGCGUAAAGCGCACGUAGGAGGCUUUACAAGUCAGAGGUGAAAGCCCGGAGCUCAACUCCGGAAUUGCCUUUGAGACUGUAUCGCUUGAAUCAUGGAGAGGCGGGUGGAAUUCCGAGUGUAGAGGUGAAAUUCGUAGAUAUUCGGAAGAACACCAGUGGCGAAGGCGGCCCGCUGGACAUGUAUUGACGCUGAGGUGCGAAAGCGUGGGGAGCAAACAGG